RNAcentral lists this ribosomal RNA (253 nucleotides) under uncultured bacterium. RNAcentral's name for it is "partial 16S ribosomal RNA". It matches the Rfam family "Bacterial small subunit ribosomal RNA", at positions 524 to 776 of the family's 1533-position model. The record is from RNAcentral.
UACGUAGGGGGCUAGCGUUGCUCGGAAUUAUUGGGCGUAAAGAGCGUGUAGGCGGCCAGAUAAGUCCGCUGUGAAAGCUCGAGGCUCAACUUCGAGCUGUCGGUGGAAACUAUCUGGCUAGAGUCCGGAAGAGGAGAAUGGAAUUCCUGGUGUAGCGGUGAAAUGCGCAGAUAUCAGGAAGAACCCCCGUGGCGAAGGCGGUUCUCUGGGACGGUACUGACGCUGAGACGCGAAAGCGUGGGGAGCGAACAGG